RNAcentral lists this unclassified non-coding RNA (5459 nucleotides) under Homalodisca vitripennis (glassy-winged sharpshooter). RNAcentral describes it as "uncharacterized LOC124354602, transcript variant X3". Lineage: Eukaryota; Metazoa; Arthropoda; Insecta; Hemiptera; Cicadellidae. The record is from RNAcentral.
GCACUUAGGGGUAGUCAUCAUAUGGAUUUUAUAUGUGUAGAUUUUAUUUUCCCAUCUAUCCGAUAAAUCAUAGUUUAAUUUAUAAAGUUAAAAAUUAUAUAAAGCAUGCCUUUCUGAAUUUAUGCUUAAACAUAAAAUUUAAAUAUAUUUUGUAUAAAUAUGCCAACUUUUAUUCGUGAAGGCAAGAUAGAUGCAGUACAUACUCGUAGAUAGCUCGAGACUCAUGAGCCAAUGACGGUUCUCGAAUUAGCUCGACGCAUUAAUCAAAGUCCCUGGCAUUAUUGACGGCAUCAGAAGUGCCAACGAAUGUAGAUAACGUACUUUGUUUUUCAUCGUGUCGCAACGACCUGGGUCGAGGCCAGCGGCUACCAAACCGUAUGGGGUCGGGGCACGCGACGUGGACCUACGCGGAAGACGAGUCCGCUGUCGCAACAGGGAUCGACGUGGCCGCAGGGGCUAUUUACAAGGCUCUAAUCCCACUUUGAUUCCUUGGCCGGUGGGGAAUGUCAGUGCGACGACGCCGCAAAUAGAUUUUUGGCACAGUCGUAACAAUUGAGGUGUUCGAUAGUUGAGAUAAGGUGCGGUAGGGUGCGCGCGUGGCGGGGAGGCGACAGUCGCUGCUCAGUUCCCGCGCGCGCGACGCGACGUUCCGCCAGCUGUUCGUGUAUCCAUCAUGUGUUCAGUGAGUGACAGUGACCAGUGAAAACAGUUGGGAUAUUGUUGCUGUAUGUAUUGUCUUGGCUGAGUAGCACUUAACGAAAAGGAACCUAUUUAUUUUUGUUGUAUAAAUGUGACAACUGGGAUUUGAAUUAGUAUUAAAAACCUUUUUUAAACCAUCUAAACUUUGAAGAAAAGUACUCUGUUAAAAUACUUUUCAUGGUGCUUUUUAUUUUUAUUAAUUUAUUUUUUAAAUAAUCUGCCAACAUGUCUACAUUUUGCCGCAUCACCGGGAAGAGUAGGGGACUCCCAAAGCCAAACUAUUUCCCACUACUUCCGCCCAUUUCUCCGGCCGACGCUAAACGUUUUUGUAGAAUUACCGGAAAAUCUUAUGGACUCCCUGCACAUCAUUAUAUUCCAGUCUUAGUCAGUACCAAACCGAAGAAAAAGGCGGCCCAGCCACCCAUCCCUCUUAUAGGCCAAGAGAACGGUAUUCCCGAGAAAAACCACGUACUUGUCGCAGAUUACAGAUAUGUCUUCCCUGUCUGCGAGGAUUCUGCAGAUCUCGUACAGCUUUUGGACAGUAAGAAUAUUGAGAGCAAAGCACAUUACAUCUACAAGGUCGCGGAGAGAAGAUGCAGCUUGGUAUUCACGGCUAAGAUGGAGGCUGCAGUGAGAGACGGGGACAUCAGGAACGUGAUGUUAGCAAAGGACUCGGAUACUCUUCUUUUAAAACUGAAAAAGGGCGGAGAUGUCGCUAUCGAUGUCAGGGAUAUCUCGAUCGACGGUUUGGAGAUAUACGAUGGUGAGGGUCCGAGUGAGGAGGUUGUGAAUGAACGAAAAAAAAGAAAGAGGAAAGGCAGUUCGGUUAUGUCAACGGUCGGGAAGAUAUUUGAGGAAAAAGAACGUGCCGCCGCCUUAGCUGAAGAAAUAGAUAACCAGAGACCGAAACUGUUGAAGAAAGAAACUAGUAAGGAUGUUAGUAAAGCUAAAAUAGAAUGUAAACCACAGAGUUGGAGUGACUGUAGACCCGAUCCAGUAGACACGAUUAAAUUAGCUAGUUCCCAAGAGCUUAGUCCGUUGUUUGAGAGUAACGAUUGGUCGAACUGGGAGAGCACAAUGCUCCAUAAAGGGCAACCGAUCACGAACAAAAUGCCUUCUCCUUGCGUUCUUGACCCGUUACUAGUAGAUUUAGGAACGUCUUUGCCUGGAUUAAUUCAGGCACCUCUAGUUUUAGAGAGCACGGGUGGUCUUGAAGUAACGUCAGCCAUCAACCCGAUAACGCCUUUAAUUGCUGAACCCGACGAACAGCUCUUGAGCUGUAUAAAGAAACUUGACCCAUCAGAGCUCGAAAAAACUGCUGGGACGAAACAGAUAUUUGCAAGGGAUAAACAUAAUCUUAAUAUGUUACCGACAAUAGCGGAAAUUCCAGAGAUCAUUGAAAAAAUGAACGAAGGGACCCAUUCCACAGUAGGUAACCCCAAUUGUAAAGUAACCGGAUUAAAAUUAGACAUAAAAGCGGCUACUAAAUUCGUUGUUGGUAUGACUGUUAAUACACCUACAGGGGAUGUGUUUGUUCCCGGACAGACAGUCGAUACACCAAAUGGGGAGCAGUUCAUCCCUGGUAUUACUAUUAAGACUCCUGAGGGUGCACCUCAACUCAUUCCUGGCCAUAUCCUUCAGGUUGAUAAAGAUAAUAGUGGAGUUAAAACGCCUGUUUUUAUCGCUGGACAAGUAUUAAAUACGAGAGAGGGGGAGAAAUUUGUACCCGGCCAGAAAAUUGUUACUAAAGAUGGAGCAAAGUUCGUUCCUGGCCAGACAGUCAUGGCACCAGAUAGCCUAAAGUUUAUCCCCGGUCAAAUUGUUCCUGGAGAAACACCGCAAUUUGUUCCUGGUCUGACAGAACUCGAUUGUGAAGGUCAUAAAUUCGUCCCUGGGCAAAUGCACACGGACCAGUUCGGUAGAACAGUUUUCAUGCCUGGGCAAUCUGAACAGACGGAGGAGGGUUGGAAGUUCAUCCCUGGUCAAAGCAUAGUUACUCCCACAGGUGAUUUGAAAUUCGUUCCUGGUCAAACGAUCGAUUCCAAAGACGGGCCUACUUUCAUACCGGGCCAAACCGUUACCAAUAAAAAUGGAGAUGAUGCAUUUGUACCAGGUGUAGUUGUAGAAUCCGAAGAAGGUGCUAAAUUUCUUCCUGGAGCAACAAUAAAAACUCCUGAUGGGCCACAAUUUGUUGAAGGGCAACUAUUCAGAUCUGCCAGUGGUAAGAUACAUUUCAUUCCAGGAAAUACAGAAAUAACAGAUGAAGGAAAUUACGAGUUUGCAGCUGCUCGUUACGUCAGUGACAUCGUAUAUAGAGAUAGCAUGUCUUUGGGAAUAUCUCUUGAUAACGCGGCCAUCAAUACAAAUGAUAAGGCAGACACAGUUUACGGUCACAUAGUUCAGACGGGUCAAGGUGUGGAAUUCUUCCCAGGAGUAGCAUCAGGACUACCUGCUGGAAAAGUUGUGCCUGGAAGGCUGGUUAGAGGAAAAGAAGUUAAAUUUGUACCUGGCAUCAUAAUCGAUGACAAAUUUGUUCCUGGGCAAGUUGUAACUACAGAUAAAGGUGAACAGUUUGUCCCUGGCCAAGUUGUGGAAACAAAGGAUGGUCCAAAAUUCGUUCCAGGCCAAAUCGUCGAAAUGCGAUCUGGGCCUAAAUUUGUGCCUGGUCAGACAGUUGAAACUGCUGAAGGUCCUAAGUUUGUACCUGGCCAAAUCGUAGAUACAAAAGCAGGACCUACAUUUAUUCCCGGUCAAGUCAUAUCUACUGAUGACGAAGGUUCGCGGUUCGUUCCCGGACAAGUAGUUGAAACCAUAGAAGGACCAAGAUUCGUUCCUGGUAGAGUCAUUGAAACAGGUGACAAAGUUUCAUUUAUUCCUGGACAAGUUGUUGAAACCACAGAUGGAUUGAAAUUUGUUGCUCCUGAUCUAGAAAACGAUCCUGAGGGUGAUGUACAAUUUACAGUUCAAGGAUUUGAAAUAACUCCUGAAGAGCUAAAUUUACUUCGACCGCACAUUAGCUCGAAUUCUAUUUUUUCACCUGCAUCGGGAGAGACAGCUAUCGAUUCCAGAAUGAUGAAACAGCUAUCAGAAGCUGGAAUGGCUGUAGGAAGACAAGUUCCAGCGGAUGUACCAGUUGUAGAUGUGAGAACAGUUCCGGCCAUGGGAGUUGCUUGCUCUCUAAGAGAUCGACUUCCAGGCCAUAUUGAUCCAGUCACAACCAUCAAACUCAGCCAAAUCUUAGCAACUAUUGCUCAGUUUGACUGUUCAAUGCCAUUAAAUGGGGUCAACAUGGUUGACAAUGCGAGUGAAGCUAUUAUUUUAAAGUCAAUGUUGAAAGCUGCUGAUAUGGCAGAAAAUGAGCUCGGUCUAUACAGAAAUGUAUGUGCUGUUCUGGAGAAAGUUUUAUUAACAGAAGGUAAAAAUGAAGUAGUGCCCAUUGUUGAUAGCUUGCAUAAAUUUGUUAUGAAUUCGCCAGCUUUAGAUCCCAUGCGACCAAAGAAAAAGGUCAACCUAUUAAAAGAACUUGUUGUAGGAAAUAUUAGUAAUGAAGAAGAAAUUGUUGAAAAAUUGAGUUACAUUUUGAAUGACUCCGAUGAAUCCAUCAUUGAAGGCUUUAGAAACUUUAGCAAAGGACAUCCGGAUAUUAUAGGAAAAAUUGUUCAACGCAUGACAGAUAAACUAGACAAAAUAGAAACUGAAAAGGAUGCCUCUGAAUCGCUCCAAAAAGCAAUAAUAGAUGUUGUUAGAGAAUCAAGUGAAAUCAGUGUUCAAGACGUGUUACAUAACGCUUCAAAUGAAAAUGUAAAAAAUAUGUUCCUAGAAGCUAUUGGUCUUGCGCGCGCUAUGGGCAUGAGAGAUGUUGCCAACACUUUAUUAGGAGCCAUAGCAGAUCCAAAGAAGGCUGAACUUUUGGCAAACGAUAGAGUUACAUUUGAAAUUCUUAGAAGACUAACUGUCAUGAGACAUUUGGCAGAAAAAAGGCCGAAAUUUGGAACAGCACUUCUUCAACUUACGAUUGACCCAGAUGAAGCCAGAGCUGACCCCCUAGUGAGGGAAUUAGUGAGAGAAAGUGGUGCUCUUAUGAUCAUUCCUGAAGAAAACGUAAACAUACAAACUGCUGGAGAUGUCCCAAUGUCGCUGCUGACAUGUGACAACAGUUUAGCCAUGGAAGACUUCAUGUUGAAGAACAAGAAACACGGGAUCCUCGUGAUCGUCAAGCACGGGAUACAGUGUGUCAUCCCUCGGGAAGCAUCCAGGGCGGUUCUCACAGGGAAGGUUCCGUACACAGUACUGGACGAAAAAGGGAUGCAUACGUUCGCUCCACUUCAUGUCUUCUCCGCUCUCCACAUCCCCCAGAUGUACACCCAUCGCUUCUCCAUGUACUCUGUGACCACGGAGGAGGAAGCCCCCACCCUCGGAACCCUGACUCCUGCCACCAGCGUUGACGAUGUCACGAUGAUGGUGUCUACACCGCCCGCUCAGGAUGCAGGGAGGGUGGGGAUGUGAUAUUCACAGCCAGCCAAGACUACCUGGCCAGCGACCUCGACUCCUUUAUCUCUGCACCGGGGUGAACAGGUGAUAGUGCUGGAAACUACCGGGGUCGAAGUGGACACUGCCAAACUAGAAUUAGAUGACGAGCUAUGCCUGGGGGGUGAGGUUGGGACUCUCUUGGACAACCCUGCUGCCAGACACAAGUUAGCGGUCCGGCCCAGAAAGAGACACACCGGCUCGAGGCAGCGUGAUACUUCACCUUCCAUGGU